This 2539-nucleotide ribosomal RNA is filed under the name saltern metagenome. RNAcentral describes it as "bacterial LSU rRNA". It matches the Rfam family "Bacterial large subunit ribosomal RNA", at positions 1 to 2621 of the family's 2925-position model. The record is from RNAcentral.
GAGAUUACGAAAGGGCGUAUGGAGGAUGCCUAGGCUCUUAACAAAGAAGAAGGACGUGAUAAGCUGCGAAAAGCUACGGGGAUUAGCACAUAUGAAUCGAUCCGUAGAUAUCCGAAUGGGGCAACCUAUCAUUUAGAUAUGAUAUCCGUAAGGAGUAUUACCUGUUGAACUGAAACAUCUAAGUAAACAGAGGAAGAGAAAACAAAAGUGAUUCUGCUAGUAGCGGCGAGCGAACGUGGAACAGCCCAAACCAAUAUUGUUACGGCAAUAUUGGGGUUGUAGGACUACUUAAGAUAAAUAAUUACGAAUUAGAAUAAGUUGGAAAGCUUAACCGUAGUGUGUGAUAGUCACGUAUAAGGAACUAAUUAUUUUAGGAGUAGAAUCCUGAGUAGUGCGGGGCACGAGAAACCUUGCAUGAAUCAGCCGGGACCAUCCGGUAAGGCUAAAUACAGUUAAGAGACCGAUAGUGAACCAGUACCGUGAGGGAAAGGUGAAAAGUACCGUGAACAACGGAGUGAAAUAGUACCUGAAACCAUACGCUUACAAGCGGUCGGAGUCACGCCAUUGGCGUGAUGACGGCGUGCCUUUUGCAUAAUGAGCCUACGAGUUAUUGAUAUUGGCAAGAAUAAUCCGCAUGAGCGGAGUAUUCGUAGCGAAAGCGAGUUUUAAAAGGGCGUUAGUCAUUAUCAAUAGACGCGAACCCGAGUGAUCUAUCCUUGGGCAGGUUGAAGCUGUGGUAACACAUAGUGGAGGACCGCACCCAUUAACGUUGAAAAGUUUUGGGAUGACCUGAGGAUGGGGGUGAAAGGCCAAUCAAACUCGGAAAUAGCUCGUACUCUCCGAAAUGCAUUUAGGUGCAGCGAUUUAUUAGUUUUAUAGAGGUAGAGCUACUGAUUGGAUGCGGGGGCUUCACCGCCUACCAAUUCCUGACAAACUCCGAAUGCUAUAAAAUGAUGUAAAUCAGUGAGGGCAUGGGUGCUAAGGUCCAUGUCCGAGAGGGAAACAACCCAGACCAUCAGCUAAGGUCCCAAAAUAUAUGCUAAGUUGACCAAACGCGGUUCGACUGCUUAGACAGCUAGGAUGUUGGCUUGGAAGCAGCCAUUCAUUUAAAGAGUGCGUAACAGCUCACUAGUCGAGCGGUUGAGCAUGGAUAAUAAUCGGGCAUAAGCAUAUUACCGAAGCUAUGGUAUUACGUCUUUGGCGUGAUAGUUAGGAGAGCAUUCUGAUGGCGUUGAAGGUUUUCUGUCAGGGAGACUGGAGCAGUCAGAAAAGCAAAUGUAGGCAUAAGUAACGAUAAUGCCGCUGAGAAAGCGGCACACCGAAAGACCAAGGAUUCCUCAGCUAUGCUAAUCAGCUGAGGGGUAGUCGGGACCUAAGGCGAACCCGGAAGGGGUAGUCGAUGGAAAAGCAGUUAAUAUUCUGCUACCUGUCCAUAUUCAAGUGACGGAAAUUACAAUAAGGUGCGUACAGACGGAAUUGUACGUUGAAUCCCGAGAAAUCGGGAGAUAGUACACCAAAGCUACGGUGGCGGUGAUAAUCCUUAGAAGAAUUUCCCUAGAAAAGCGAAUGAGACAGCCCGUACCAUAAACCGACACAGGUAGUUGGGAUGAGAAUUCUAAGGUGCUCGAGCGAUUCAUGGCUAAGGAACUAGGCAAAAUAGACCCGUAACUUCGGGAGAAGGGUUUCACGCCUUGCGGCGUGACGCAGUGAAGAGGUCCAAACGACUGUUUAUCAAAAACACAGGGCUCUGCAAAAUCGAAAGAUGCAGUAUAGGGCCUGAUACCUGCCCGGUGCCGGAAGGUUAAGAGGAGGUGUUAUCUUCGGAGAAGCGCUGAAUUGAAGCCCCGGUAAACGGCGGCCGUAACUAUAACGGUCCUAAGGUAGCGAAAUUCCUUGUCGGGUAAGUUCCGACCUGCACGAAUGGUGCAACGAUUUGGACACUGUCUCAGCCAUGAUCUCGGUGAAAUUGAAGUAUCGGUGAAGAUGCCGAUUACCCGCUGUGGGACGAAAAGACCCCGUGAACCUUUACUAUAGUUUAGUAUUGUCUUUAGAUAAGUGAUGUGUAGGAUAGGUGGGAGACAUUGAUUGGUUAUCGCCAGGUAAUCAGGAGUCGCCCUUGAAAUACCACCCUUUACUUGUUUGAAGGCUAAUCACGCCCUGGGCGUGAGACAUUACUUGAUGGGUAGUUUGACUGGGGUGGUCGCCUCCAAAAGAGUAACGGAGGCUUCUAAAGGUUCCCUCAGCACGCUUGGUAACCGUGCGUAGAGUGUAAUGGCAUAAGGGAGCUUGACUGAGAGACCUACAAGUCGAUCAGGUACGAAAGUAGAGCAUAGUGAUCCGGUGGUUCCGUAUGGAAGGGCCAUCGCUCAAAGGAUAAAAGGUACUCCGGGGAUAACAGGCUGAUCUCCCCCAAGAGCUCACAUCGACGGGGGGGUUUGGCACCUCGAUGUCGGCUCGUCACAUCCUGGGGCUGGAGAAGGUCCCAAGGGUUGGGCUGUUCGCCCAUUAAAGUGGCACGCGAGCUGGGUUCAGAACGUCG